UUGGAAGCCGCCCCUAGAUAUACCCAUCUAUUGUGGCAGCGAAGUCGCCACUAAUAAUUUUGAUUUUAAAAUGAAAGAUUACAAAAACAAACCCUAGACAAACGAGAAAAAACACCCCCAAAAUCAUUUUCUACAAUACACUUCUCAACAAAGUUCCAUCGGCUGCGAAAUUCUGGAUCCUCUAUCCCUUUGCUGUGACCGGCAAACUCAUCGACAAUUCCUUUACCGUUAUACGGACCAUCGGUGAUGAUUGCCGAGUUUAAGCAGAUAGUACCUGAUUUUAAGAAGCAAAUGCUGAUAUCAUCAGCAUUUACUGUAAGCAAUCUUCCACCAUUAAAUUAUAUUAUAGAAUAAAUUAGAAAAUGCCUUGGUUUGUUUGAAGCUCCCUUUAUUACAAUUGGUGUUGACUUCUGUUCACUUUUUAUUAAAAUUUGAACUUGAAAUCUGGUAAAUCAAGCAAUAUUUAAUUAUAGAUGUGAUUCAUUUCAGAUAGGAAAGAAAUUAUUGCCAAAUAUUGAAAUCUUGUAUCUACAUUCCAUGAAACAAUAGUCAAUAUGUAUAAUCAACUAAAGAUAAGAUAAUUUCUUUAUUUUUGUUUUAUUCUUUUUAAUAGUCUACAGAAUUUGAAACUUUGUCUGGCAAAUCGUAUGUUCAACCUUGCUUUUGUUCUUCUAGUUGGUGGGUUUAUUAAAUUUUGUGCUAGCUCUUAGUCUAUUGUAUUUGGGUGGAGAUGCACUUUAAUUUUUUUUGCCUCUUCCAUGAGUGUUUUCCUUUUCAUAUGCUUGACAAAGUACAAAUUUUUAACACAAAGUUACUCCUUGAUUUGAAUAUCUUGGCAUAAGUUUAUGAUUUGAGAGAGAUUGAUAUGCAGUUAAAGCUAUUUUAAAAAUGUACAACUGUAAAUUUAUUUUGCACAGUUAAGAAAUGGAAGGGCAGAUGCCAUGUGAUAACAGUUCUAGGUCAUUAUCAAAAUUAUGAUUUUUGACUUUGUCUCAAGUAAAAGAUGACAUUUUGUUGGUAACAUACCAAAAUAUAAUUUUUCUCUUUGUCCUAAGUGUAUUAAGCCUUUCAUUAAAUAGAAAUUGAAAUUUUCCUUUCCUUACGACAUAGUUAAGACUUUUCAUGUUUUUAACGACUUAGACGAGUUUUGAGAUAGGUUGACAUGUGAUUUCCUUCCUUUCCUUCUGAUUUUUAUUAAUUACCAUUUCCUUAUGACAUGUGACAUAGGAAAUUCAACCAUUUUCUUCUUGUAUCUUGUAGUUAGUUAUAGAAAAGUUGUUAGGCCAGGAGGAGUGCCUAUAUGAACUGACUAUGUCAAUGCAAUAUAAGUUGCAUAUGCCUUAUUAUCUACUCUGAGCUCAUGUUUGCUUAUGACCUUUUUUCCUUACAUAUUUAAAUAGAAGGAUAAAUCAUAUCACAACUAAUGCUAUUUGGCAUGAUUUCCGAUCUUAAACCAAAGAGAAAAUACUACUCUAGUAGAUUUCACUUUUUUAUGCAAAAUCCUUAUUACAGAGAAGUACUUAACAAACCAGAUUCAUAGGAAAACAUCUUGGGAAGUUACUGGUAUAUGCUAUUUUUUUCUUUAGUAUCAAAAUCUGUUAAUAAAAUUAUUUUCGUUCACUGAACACCAGAUAUGUUUCAGUAAGUUUCAUAAUACACAGUAAAAUUUAGCUUAAAUUUCUCGCUUACUCUGUUGUUGAUCACCAUAUAAAGGUUCCAUUGCUGACAAGAUAGCAUAGUGUGAGUUUAUAGCUUGAGAUAAGAACUAGAAGGAAAAUGUAAUUAAUGUUCCUUCUACUAGAUAUAACUGAAUAUGUGUCUGGAUCUUUUGGCUGCACAGACAAUUUUACGUUCAAAACUUAAUAUUACUCAUUCCAUUAGGCUUACAAUGAAAAUUCAAUCAAACUUGAAAAAGUCUUUUACACCUUCGGGAAAGCAUACCGGAAGACCCAACUUUCGCUUAAAAUGCCAGUUUGGAUGAGUGUGAAUUUUUUGAAAGACAUUCACUUGCCAUGGUUCUCUCUGAUUGUAGUAGACCUUUCCUUUUCAUAUGCUUUCCUUUAGUACUUGGCUUAAGAUCAACUCUUUUUUGUAUGCAUGCAUAUAUUACUGUUAUUCUUUAUUUUUUUAAUAGCAAGGAGAUAGUACUUCAACAAAAUUAAGUUGCUCAAGGAGUAGCCUGAAGACAUUAGAGUAACUUGAAGAUAUUGGAAUAGUUUGAAGACGUAUUCCUUUGGGUUUGUUUCUUAAAAUAGCGAAGGAUAAGGUUAUUCAAUAAGUAGGAGUUCGAACACAUUUGAUGUUAUUUUUUCCAUGUGUAUGUGCAGUGACAGUGUAUUAUAGAGCGUAAUGUACUUUGUUGCAGACUAUUUGGUAAUGAAAAGUUUCUAUACAGUUUUAUUUAAGAGUA
Nicotiana tabacum (common tobacco) is the source of this 2410-nucleotide long non-coding RNA. RefSeq lists it as uncharacterized. The record is from RefSeq and is a predicted model, not a curated record. NCBI's taxonomy places the organism in Eukaryota, Viridiplantae, Streptophyta, Magnoliopsida, Solanales, Solanaceae.